This 741-nucleotide ribosomal RNA is filed under the name uncultured bacterium. Its description in RNAcentral is "bacterial SSU rRNA". It matches the Rfam family "Bacterial small subunit ribosomal RNA", at positions 759 to 1500 of the family's 1533-position model. The record is from RNAcentral.
GUGGGGGAGGCAAACAGGAUUAGAUACCCUGGUAGUCCACCGCUGUAAACGAUGGAUACUAGGUGUGGGAGGUAUCGACCCCUUCCGUGCCGGAGUUAACACAAUAAGUAUCCCACCUGGGGAGUACGGCCGCAAGGCUGAAACUCAAAGGAAUUGACGGGGGCCCGCACAAGCAGUGGAGUAUGUGGUUUAAUUCGAAGCAACGCGAAGAACCUUACCAGGGCUUGACAUACCGAUGACCGGGUUAGAGAUAACCCUUCCCUUCGGGGCAUCGGAUACAGGUGGUGCAUGGUUGUCGUCAGCUCGUGUCGUGAGAUGUUGGGUUAAGUCCCGCAACGAGCGCAACCCCUGUUGUUAGUUGCCAUCAUUAAGUUGGGCACUCUAACAAGACUGCCGGUGACAAAUCGGAGGAAGGUGGGGAUGACGUCAAAUCAUCAUGCCCCUUAUGUCCUGGGCUACACACGUACUACAAUGGCGAUUACAGAGGGCAGCGAAACCGCGAGGUGGGGCAAAUCCCUAAAGGUCGCCCCAGUUCAGAUUGCAGGCUGAAACUCGCCUGCAUGAAGUAGGAAUUGCUAGUAAUGGCAGGUCAGCAUACUGCCGUGAAUACGUUCCCGGGCCUUGUACACACCGCCCGUCACACCAUGAGAGUUGACAACACCCGAAGUCAGUAGCUUAACCGCAAGGAGAGCGCUGCCGAAGGUGGGGUUGAUGAUUAGGGUGAAGUCGUAACAAGGUAAC